Molecule: long non-coding RNA, 1873 nt
Organism: Chiroxiphia lanceolata (lance-tailed manakin)
Lineage: Eukaryota; Metazoa; Chordata; Aves; Passeriformes; Pipridae
Exons: 3
Source: RefSeq, a predicted model, not a curated record
UUGUUGUUCAUGCCUUUUCCAGAUGACCUGAGUAUGCUGAACCCCACAGAGCCCUGCAGGCCCUGGAGGGAGCUCAGCACUUCCCCCCCUUGACACAACUUACUGCUUCCUCCUGUGUCCCUGCAGGAAAGAGUCUGCCCUUCACAAAGCUGAAUUAAUUGGAAAGCUUCUUGGACUUUUUAGAAGUCAGCAAUACCCUAAUUCAAAGGGAUUUAGCCAAUCAAGAGAUGAGACUCCCUUACGAAAGCACAACCCAAACUUUCUAUUAUAUUUAAUGAGAUGUUACUCACUAAUUUGACGGCUGGUUUCAGCCAGCUUGACCAGCACAGAAAUCUCAUUUACUGGUGUGGUAUUUGUACACUGGUUUUCCCAGGCCGUUCUGAGGCUUGAUGGGACACUGGUCAUGAACCACUCAGGUACGAAGGUCAAUUUAAGCAAUAAGGAAAUUAGGUAAUUUGUAAAGCCAGUCAGUCAUGAAACAGUGUCUGAAUGUGGAAAUUUCUCAUCUUUUACACCUCUUAUUGCAUGCAUGUCUCACCCCUGGAAAAAGUGUGAGAAAAUUCCCAAUUUUAAGAGCUAAGAAAGUGGCAGGUAAUUCACGCAGGGAUUUUUACACUCUGACCAUAUCUGUCUGAAGUACUCAUUUUACAGCCUAAGCACCUCUGAGCCCUGGAGUCAUUCUCCCUGGCAGCACACCAUUGCUGAGACUACCUUUGAAGUUUUUCUUUAGUUCCUUUCAAGUUCCUUCAGCAAGCUGUUCCGUUCCCAUCUUUUUUUAUACUCCCUUGUGAUGGUUUUACAUUUAACAAUCUGCUACUUGUGGCUUUAUGUUUAACAUGUCCUGUUUGUUCUCUGUUUUAUUUUCCCUCCCUAAGUACAAAUCGCAUCCUUUGAAGACCAUCUCUUCACUUCUGAUGCCUCUUUUCCCCUCCUGUUUUAUUACAGAACUUUUUGAGGGUCUGUGGAUUGGCUGCCUUCCUCUCAGGUUUUGGCAUCACCUUCACAUGUUUUAACCCUUUUUGGCAGUAAUAUUGUUUUCUUCUCGUAUCAAAGUAUCAGUGCAUAGAGUGCCCUGAACUUCAGAGUGCUCCAUGAAGAGGGAGAAGACCUUCCUGCUCUGAGUUUUAACAGCUCCACGCUUUGGGAUGUGGGGUUUGUAGCUCCAAGCCUGUGCUGUGUUCUGUGUGGGUGUCUCCUCUGGCCUUUGGAGCAAGGCAGCAGUGCCAGCUCCCCCUGCACUCCCCCCCAGCCCUGUACCUUGCACCAGGAGAGGUGGUCUUGGACGCUGUCGAUGGAGAGCGCGAUCAUCUUCACGUUGCGCUUGCUGAACUCGGCUGCCAGCUUGGCUGCCCGGCCCAGCUCUGUGGUGCAGACAGGGGUGAAGUCCCGUGGGUGGGAAAAGAGGAUGCCCCAUCUGGAAGGAGAGAGCAGGAGUUGGUGUUAGGGUGAGAUGUCGGUUUGGUCUGUGCCAGAAAGACCUGUGCAGAUUGCAUGGCACGGAGACCAAUGAAGGAACAGCCUGUCUCUGUGGAUCCCACAGGAGAUGCUGGAAGAGCAGAUGUUUCUUGGUGUGGAGGUGGACACCAUGCCACGUGAGGAAGUCUGGGGGAACCAUGUGUACCCUGCACUCCAGAAACCACAUGUGUUAGGAGAUGUAAAUGCCAACCUGCCAGCCACGUGACUGCAGAGACAAUCACUGAUUCACAAGGCUGGUCACUGUCCUGUAUACCUCAUCCAGCACUGCGAGGAGAUACACUCAGUUCACAAUGCCGACAAGAAGGGGACUCAAACGCUGAUUCAAGCCUGCCAAGCGUUGCCGGGAGCGAGCCUCAAACAUUCUGUGCCUGUGUCAAAAAUGGAGCAACAGGCUUUG